RNAcentral lists this transfer RNA (87 nucleotides) under Fretibacterium sp. OH1220_COT-178. Its description in RNAcentral is "tRNA-Leu". It matches the Rfam family "tRNA". Rfam says of the family: Transfer RNA (tRNA) molecules are approximately 80 nucleotides in length. Their secondary structure includes four short double-helical elements and three loops (D, anti-codon, and T loops). The record is from RNAcentral. RNAcentral also lists the same sequence under 1 other name. Lineage: Bacteria; Thermotogati; Synergistota; Synergistia; Synergistales; Aminobacteriaceae.
GCCGGGCUGGUGGAAGUGGUAGACACACGGGACUUAAAAUCCUGGGGACUUCGGUCCGUGCGGGUUCGAGUCCCGCGUCCGGCACCA